AUUGAAACACCAGUUCUCAUAAGAUCACCAAAGUUAAGCAACAUCGUGCAUGGCAAGUACCUAGAUGGGUGACUGGUUGUGAAUACCAGAUGCU
Molecule: non-coding RNA, 94 nt
Organism: Acanthosepion pharaonis
Lineage: Eukaryota; Metazoa; Mollusca; Cephalopoda; Sepiida; Sepiidae
Source: the annotation of a GenBank genome assembly